This is a long non-coding RNA of Mustela lutreola (European mink), 835 nucleotides long. RefSeq lists it as uncharacterized. The transcript has 3 exons. The record is from RefSeq and is a predicted model, not a curated record. Lineage: Eukaryota; Metazoa; Chordata; Mammalia; Carnivora; Mustelidae.
UCACCCUUCUGCGUCUCCUGGUGCACCUGGGCAGACCUCAGCCCUCAAGAUGGCUUCCACGGCCCCCAAGCCCACGUGUGAUAAAGAAGUGUGUGAAGAGACAGCCUCUGGGCCCUACUAACCGUACCGUGCACCCCCGCCCCCUGCAACUGAACUCUGAAGGGCGCAGCUUGGAUCAGUAUUUAUGGAAGUCCUUUGUGAAAAUGCCAGCGCAUCCCAGCAAUGCCGAGAGGAACCAGCAAAGGGGUUUGUGUCUCUUCCUGGGCUCAAGCAGCCCAAACCUUACCCAUCCUUCAAAACCCAGCAGAAAUGUCACCUCUUCCACGAAGCCUUCCCUGACCUCCAGAUGAAGUUGGCUCUCUAAAGUACUUUAUCCCUGCUGAUCUCCUGAACCUUGUCACUUCCUUCUUCUCAUCGUGCCACCUGGGCUAGAUGUGGAACUCUACAGGGCAGGCCAGCUCCUGCUUAUCACCCCAUUGCAAGAGCUCUGGAACUACUUAGAUAAAGGGAGACUGAUGGAGAAGAGGGGUUCGCUAUGGAGCUGGACAGGUAGCAGAGCACUCAGAUCAGAGGACACAGGAGGGAUUCAGGAAACAUCAGCUGAAACGAGGCUCGGAAAAGCUGUUGCUUGCUUGCUGAAGUCCAGAUUGCAUUUGGGAUCAACGAGAAAAGACGCCUGUUUUUCUAGAGUCCUAGGGAACUGAGCAACCAAAGGUAGUGCCCUCACAGGACAGGGAGGCAUUGGCUGCUGGGAGAAUAAGCAAGAAGGGGAAAAUGGCGCCACCCUCCAUGUGGUUUGGGUAGCAGUUGUGGCAGAAAUAAAAAUCACUUAGUU